AGGGGUUUGGGGUGUGAGGCUCCACCGCUCCUGCCUUCCCAAAAACACCUGGAAAAAUGGAAAUCCGGGAUCACAGGAGGGAAAGGGGUGUGAGGCUCCACAGCUCCUGCCUUCCCAAAAAACACCUGGAAAAAUGGAAAUCCGGGAUCAGACAAGGAAAAGGGAAAGGGGUGCGAGGCUCCACCGCUCCUGCCUUCCCAAAAAACACCUGGAAUUAUGGAAAACAUGGAUCAGAGCUGGGAAAGGGGUGUGAGGCUCCACCGCUCCUGCCUUCCCAAAAACACCUGGAAAAAUGGAAAUCCGGGAUCAGAGCUGGAAAAGGAAAAGAGGUGUGAGGCUCCAUUGCUCCAAGGGAAAGGGGUUUGGGGUGUGAGGCUUCACUGCUCCUGCCUUCCCAAAAAACACCUGGAAUCAUGGAAAACAUGGAUCAGAGCUGGGAAAGGGGUGUGAGGCUCCACCGCUCCUGCCUUCCCAAAAAACACCUGGAAUCACAGAAAUCUGGGAUCAGAGGAGGGAAAGGGUUUUGGGGUGUGAGGCUCCACCGCUCCUGCCUUCCCAA
Non-coding RNA from Cyanistes caeruleus (blue tit), 559 nucleotides. NCBI's taxonomy places the organism in Eukaryota, Metazoa, Chordata, Aves, Passeriformes, Paridae. The record is from RefSeq and is a predicted model, not a curated record.